This 69-nucleotide transfer RNA is filed under the name Urocitellus parryii (Arctic ground squirrel). RNAcentral's name for it is "Spermophilus parryii (Arctic ground squirrel) tRNA". It matches the Rfam family "tRNA". Rfam says of the family: Transfer RNA (tRNA) molecules are approximately 80 nucleotides in length. Their secondary structure includes four short double-helical elements and three loops (D, anti-codon, and T loops). Further hydrogen bonds mediate the characteristic L-shaped molecular structure. tRNAs have two regions of fundamental functional importance: the anti-codon, which is responsible for specific mRNA codon recognition, and the 3' end, to which the tRNAs corresponding amino acid is attached (by aminoacyl-tRNA synthetases). tRNAs cope with the degeneracy of the genetic code in two manners: having more than one tRNA (with a specific anti-codon) for a particular amino acid; and 'wobble' base-pairing, i.e. permitting non-standard base-pairing at the 3rd anti-codon position. The record is from Rfam by way of RNAcentral. Lineage: Eukaryota; Metazoa; Chordata; Mammalia; Rodentia; Sciuridae. RNAcentral also lists the same sequence under 2 other names.
GGGGUUGUGGCUCAGUGGUAGAGCUCUCACUUCACACGUGUGAGACCCUGGGUUCGAUCCUCAGCACCA